RNAcentral lists this ribosomal RNA (253 nucleotides) under uncultured bacterium. Its description in RNAcentral is "partial 16S ribosomal RNA". It matches the Rfam family "Bacterial small subunit ribosomal RNA", at positions 524 to 776 of the family's 1533-position model. The record is from RNAcentral.
UACGAAGGGGGCUAGCGUUGCUCGGGAUUACUGGGCGUAAAGCGCACGUAGGCGGACUUUUAAGUCGGGGGUGAAAUCCUGGAGCUCAACUCCAGAACUGCCUUCGAAACUGAAGGGCUUGAGUUCGGGAGAGGUGAGUGGAACUGCGAGUGUAGAGGUGAAAUUCGUAGAUAUUCGCAAGAACACCAGUGGCGAAGGCGGCUCACUGGCCCGAUACUGACGCUGAGGUGCGAAAGCGUGGGGAGCAAACAGG